CCACACAGUUCAAACCCAUGUUGUUCAAGUGUCAACUGUGAUUUCUUCUGAGUGGAGUGAUGCUCCCUGUCACCAAACUCAACCUACUACCUUGCAAAAUCUUCAAAAACCUACAAGGAAUUGAUACUCUAUUAGUUGCUAUGUUUUCACUGUUUUCAUAUAAAUUAUAGUUAACUUUAAUUAGAAUUUAUUUUAUUGCAUUAUGUAUCAUUUCCCUCGUAUCUUUUCCUCCAUUUGUAGUGGGAGUUCCUAUUAUAGAGGGAUUGCAUGAUACUUCAUUUUUAACUCUUUGCACUUAGAGAAACAACUUGCAUGGGACAGUCUUGAUAAUGAAAGGACACUAGAUUACUCAUCAUUCCCAGAGCAAUGGAUAUACAUUUUUCUUAUCUUUACAUGGCUUAUUUUUCUCUAAUUUGGAUAUUUGUUUCCUCUCUAUGGCUGAUAAACUCUUAUUCAUAAUUGAUGAUUUGCUCAACUGUAGCAUUCUUGUGAUUCAUUUUAGAUGUUUAAUAAUUGUAGAUUCCAUGUUUAGGUUUCUGAUCCAUCUCAAAUCAGUUUUUGAGUCUGAUAUGUGAAGUGGCAAAAGUUUAUUUUCUCCCAUUUAUUAAUUUUUUUUUGGUCUUUUGAGGGCCACACCCAAGGCAUAUGGAGGUUCUCAGGCUAGGUGUCUAAUUGGAGCUGCAGUUGCCAGCCUUUACCACAGCCACAGCAAUGUGGGAUCUGAGCCCAUGACCUACGCCACAGCUUCUGGCAAUGCCAGAUCCUCAACCCACUGAGCAAGGCCAGGGAUAUAACCUGUGUCUUCAUGGAUGCUACUCAGGUUUGUUAAGCACUGAGCCAUGACGGGUACUCCUAUUUUCUCCCCAUAGUCUUUAUUCCAUUGCUUCAACACACCACUUGCUGAAAAGAUUUUUCUCUCUCAGUUGAAUUACUUUGUUGCCUCUCAAAAAUAUUUUGAUUAUAAUUAUGAAGAGCUAUUUCUGGAAUCUCUUUUGUUGCAUUGAUCUAUUUGACUAUUUUAUGCCCACACCAUGGACUUGCUUACAUUAGCUUUAUGGUAAAUCUUGAAGCCAAGUAGCAAAAAUCCUCAAAUUUUGUUUUUCUUUUUCAGUAAUGGUUGACUCUUCUAUCUAGGUCCUUUGCAUUUCCAUAUAAAUUUUAGUAUUAGUUUGUCAGUAAUCACAGAAAGCCUAAUAUAAUUGAUUUUUAUAUUGAUCUUGAAUUCCAAGACCUUGCUGAAAUCACCCAUUACAUGUGCUAUGUGUUAUUGUCUAUGAAAAAAAUUUACUUUUUCUUCCCUCCCUCUCAUUUUCCUUAAAUACACUGGCUAAGAUUCUUAGCACAAAAUACAGUGUGUUGAACAAGAAUGGUGAAAAAUACAGAGCCUUUUAUUCUCCUCAAUUUUAGUGGUGGUGAGUCAUAUCUAAUAUUUCAACAGUAAAUCUGAUAUCAGCUGAAAGUUUUUCACAGUUUUUAUUUUUUUUAAGAUAGAGGGUAUUUUCUUCAUUUCUAGAUCCUGAGAGGUUUUUUUUUUUUUAAUCAUAAUGAGUGUUAGAUUUUAUCUAAUCCUUUUUUUGGUCUCUGUUAAGAUAACCAUAUGACUUAUCUCCUUUAUUCUUUUUAAUAAAUGGAUUCUUUUUAAUGUAAUGGAUUACAUUCAUCAACUUCUGAAUGUUAACAUAAUCUUAAAUUCUUCUCAUAAAUUCUACUUAGCCAUUAUGCAUUUUCUAAUUACACAUAUUUUAGAUUGUCUGGUAUUUUCCCUCAGGUAAUUAUCAUUCUGCUCAUUUGUUUUUUUACAUAUUUUUUCCUCUCUAAUUCCUUUAGGGUAGUUUCUAUCAACCUGUUUUUAUUUUUUUAAUUAAAAAAAUUUUUCUUUUUCACAGCUGUACCUGCAGCAUAUGGAAGUUCCUGGGCUAGGGGUUGAAUUGGAGCUGCUGUAGCAGGCCUAUGUCACAGCCGGGGCAACACCGAUUUCAAGAUGCAUCUGUGACCUACAGUGCAGCUUGCAGCAAAUCUGGAUCUUUAACCCGCUGAGUGUGGCCAGGGAUCGAACUUGCAUCCUCAUGGAGACAGGGGUUGGUUCUUAACCAACUGAGCCAUUAUGGGAACUCCUCAACCUGUUUUUAAAUUCACUGAUCAUUUCUUCUGCAGUGAAUUUAAUUCUAGUGUUAGAUUGUUAGGCCAAUUUUUAUAUUGCAGUUUCUAGAAUUCUAGACGUUAGUAGUUUCCUUUUCUCUGCUGAGAUCUGUUGUUCCUUUUAUUUAUUUUUUAAUUUUUAGGCCUACACUUGUAGCAUAUGGAGGUUCUCAGGCUAGGGGUCAAAUCUGAGCUACAGCUGCUGGCCUACACCACAGCCAUGGCAACAUGGGAUCUGAGCUGUGUCUGAGAACUGCAACACUGGAUCCCCUACCCACUGAGUGAGGCCAGGAAUUGAAUCUGCAUCCUCAUGGUAUACUAGUCAGAUUCGUUUCCCCUGAGGCAUGACGGGACUCCUAGGAUGGUUAUUUUAAAGUUCACAUUUACCAGUGCACUGGUAUUAUGAGCUUAGGUCCCUUAGAAAUCUGUCUGCUGAGUCGAUACAUUAUGAUGCCACAAAACUGGAAUAAUGGAAGUAACUCUGAAAAUGGUUAAAAAGUAUUUCGAUAUCCUAUAGACCAAAUGAUGGGGAUUACAGGCUUUGGAAUAUAGCGGAGUUUUAAUUCUGGCUCUAAGCCACUUAAUUCCUACAUGGCUUUGGUAACAUUACUAGACAGUUCAAAUCCUUGAUUUUCUACUCUUAUAAAAUGAUAAUAAUUACUUCAUAUAACAAUUUAAAGUUUUAAACAAAGAUGUGAAUAUAAAGUAUAUGGCCUAAUGUUUGGUAUCUAAUAACCAUUCAAUUCAUGGGGACUGCUUAUUAAUAUUCUUAGCCAGGAGGUGCUGUGCUGCACUGAACAAGAGGGUCCUCUAUGGGUCACUGUUGACAUACUGAUCUUUGAAUUCUUAUAGAAUUCCUAUAGAAUUUUAUUGUAGAGGCAUAAACUAAGGUUAAUGAAAGAAGGUCAAAGAAAUAUAUUAAAGUUUUCUUAAGUAUGGAAGCAAGUAAUUAAAGUAAACACAAACUCUCAUAUAAGGAUGGUUUGGUUUAUAGCUUUUUAUAGUUCAUGCUCAACUUUGAGGCCAUUCCUCAAUAACAUGAGCUUAGAGAUAUCUCAUGUUAUCAUGUUGUCUUCUCUUUUUUUUAGAAACAAACAAACAAAAAGGCAUGAGAAACAGAAAUUCAAGCUCUACAUUUGAUUAAGGACAUCUGUACCCUUAAUAAUCAGAUAUCUAAAAAGGCUGCCACAGCAGUAGGAAAAAUGCUAAAAGGGGCUUUUAUGACUCUAAAUUCUUGGAUCAAGCUGACUGAGGAAAGUUCUUAUUCUGAAGAGCAAACCAACAAUUUUUAUUUUGUGAAACAGGCCUGAGUUUCACAGGCAGAGGGUUUCAUUUUCCCCUCUUCCCAAUGGAGUAAGAGGGAGGGCAAAAAUAAGUGCACUGGAAAUGUGGCAUGGCAAGAGCUGUUACAUGUAGCACUCUAGCUGGAGGUCUCUUUUUAAUGGAAAAAAUAGAGUUAAAUCAACCUGGACAUGAAGACAAUGUAAUCAUAACCCAGGGAGAAUUCUUGUUAGUUUUGUAAUCUUGCUCUAGUGUCUAUCUAAUAAGUAGAAAUACUGAUGAAGAAAUAUUUCUUUUCAUUUGAAGGCAAGUAAUUUAAAAAAAGGAGUCAGUGCAAAUAUACUACAUAGAAAAGAGGAGAAAAGGGAAAGAUGGAUUAAAAAAACUCACCCCAAAUCAUGUCAAUGGUCAGAUAUACUGAGUUAAAACACCAGCAUGACUGAGCGCAACUUAAUAAAACAAGCAUGAAUUCAUGGCUGAGAAAUAAAAGCUCAAUGGUUUAGAAUGAGAUCACAGAUGUAGAAGUAGCAUGAGAAAUACAGAAGUGAAGGAAUACUUAGAAGAUAAAAUAAUCACAGAAAAAAUGUUACCAUUGACAGUUGCAUAUAUGAAAAUAGAUAUUUGUGGAAAAUACAAUAAAAGUUAUGAAAGACAGAUUUUUUUUUUCCUUUUUACAACUGUACCUGUGGCAUGUGGGAGUCCCCAGACUAGGAGUCAAAGCAGAGCUGCAGCUGCAUGUCUACACCAUAGCCACAGCCACACCAGAUUUAAACUGCAUGUAUGACCUACACUGCAGUUUGUGGCAACAUGGAUUCUUAACCCACUAAGUGAGACCGGGAUCAAACCCACAUCCUAAUGGAGACUACUCAGGUUCUUAACUCACUGAGCCACAACAGGAACUCCAGGGCAGAAUUUUUUUAAAUGAGCAAAAAGAAAUGAAACAAGUGAUUUUAAGGGCUAGAAAUAAACCAGUGUCUAUAGAACAAAGGAUCUUACAUUAACCAUAAUUAGUGCCCUUAAAGAGAAACCAAAAAUUAGAAGAGAAAAUAAACAUUUAAUGAUAUAUUUCUAGGGGAAUUUCCACAAAUAAUAGAAGAUUUGACUUUAUUGGUUGAAAUGACUCACUGGAGGAGUUCCUGUCAUGGAGCAGUGGAAAAGAAUCCGACCAGAACCCAUGAGGUUGCAGGUUCAAUCCCUGGCCUCUCAGUGGGUUAAGGAUCCGGCAUUGCUGUGAGCUGUGGUGUAGGUUGCAGAUGCGGCUCAGAUCUGGCAUUGCUGUGGCUCUGGCAUAGGCUGGCAGCAAUAGCUCUGAUUAGACCCCUAGCCUGGGAACCUCCAUAUGCCCAGGUGCAGCCCUAAAAAGACAAAAAAAGAAAAGAAAAAGAAAAGAAAUAAAUGACUUAUUGGAGGAACUUUUACACAGAAUGCUUAACAGUGAGACAAAGCCUGGUGAUUACUUUGUCAAAUAUUAAAAAAAAAAAAAAAUCUUUUUAGUACCUAGGCCAUGUGAUCAAGAUAACAGUAGGUAAAUAAAAUAACAAGACAAGCUGAUCUUUUUAAAAAAACAAAUUCCACACGGGAUAUGGAACUAUGCCACUAAAUUACUCAGCAAAAAUAUGACCUAAAAAUCUGAUGCACAAAUUAUCAUUUAACUCCUGAGGAUAUAUAAUUUUAACACAUGCAAGAAUUAAAUGAUGAUCGUUUCUGUGGACAACAUUUGAAGAACUGUUUUUCAGCCAAAAGACAGAAAAAUGAAUAGACAAUGAUGAAAGGACUGGUGCUCAAUUUUGAAUCUAUUUCCUGAAAGGGAGGAGAUGGAAACAAAUUUAGGUUAUUCCACAAAGUUGGGAAUCAAGUUAUAUUGUAUACAGAUGUUUAGAUUGUUUGCUAGGAAACUCAGAGGGAAAUCAAAAAAGCUGUGGGAGGAGUUCCCGUCGUGGCGCAGUGGUUAACGAAUCCGACUAGGAACCAUGAGGUUGCGGGUUCGGUCCCUGCGCUUGCUCUGUGGGUUGACGAUCCGGCGUUGCCGUGAGCUGUGGUGUAGGUUGCAGACGCAGCUAGGAUCCUGCGUUGCUGUGGCUCUGGCGUAGGCCGGUGGCUACAGCUCCAAUUGGACCCCUAGCCUGGGAACCUCCAUAUGCCGCAGGAGCGGCCCAAAGAAAUAGCAAAAAGACAAAAAAAAAAAAAAAAAAAAAAAAGCUGUGGGAGAAUUUGGUAGUUACCAAGUUACAGAAUUAAUUUUAAAAUGUCAACAGUCUUUCUCUAUAAAAAUAUUUUAAAUAACAGAACACAUGGAAAUAUUUGCAAGAGCAAAGGAAAGGAUGAAGUAUCUAGGAAUAAAAUGAAACAGGAAAUGGGUAAGGUAUAUGUGAAUAAAACCUCUACUCACUGACAUAAAAGAAGAAUUAGUAGACAGGCAUACCUGUUAAGAAUAGAAAGAUUUACUAGUAUAAUGAUGUAAAUUAUUCCUAUAAUGAUCCAUAAAAGAUACAAAUAGGAACUGAAAUUUAAAAAACAAGAAAUGCUCAUUAUAAUAUUUGAAUGUAAAAUAUUCUAAAAAGAAUAAAAAAUGAAAUCAGCACUCCCAAAUAAAAGCACAUAUUAUCAAUCUAAAGAAAUGAAACCAUGUGGUACUCAUAAGUGACAGGUUCAUCAGUGGAGAAUAAAGGGUCUAUAAAUAGAGCAAAGCCAUAGAGGAAUUUAUUAUAAUGUCAGCCAUGUUUUUUAUUCUGGAAAAAGUAUUUUUCAAUAAAUGAUGUGAAUAUCAUCUAAGACACUAAUUUGAUGCGAUCUCACUAUUUACGCAAAGACGAAUUUCCAGGUAAAUCCAAAAUCCUUUAAUUUCUUUC
RNAcentral lists this long non-coding RNA (6269 nucleotides) under Sus scrofa (pig). RNAcentral describes it as "lncRNA (ENSSSCG00000050242.1, ENSSSCG00110022626.1)". The record is from RNAcentral. Lineage: Eukaryota; Metazoa; Chordata; Mammalia; Artiodactyla; Suidae.